UUUACCGUAAGGUAAGCAGUGAAGGUUAUUUGUGAUUGAUUAAUGAGCAAAUAAAUUCAACCGGCAAAACCCGGUACUGACGAACAGAAACUGGAUACGAGGCUUGAUAAACCGGAUAAGCAAGCACAUCAUUGUGACGUCCAAAAUGUUCCGUAAGGAAUGAGCACCGAAGUAGUAGAUCAGGCAGCGAUUGGGUGAAGGAAGAUGCU
RNAcentral lists this non-coding RNA (209 nucleotides) under Sunxiuqinia elliptica. Lineage: Bacteria; Pseudomonadati; Bacteroidota; Bacteroidia; Marinilabiliales; Prolixibacteraceae. The record is from RNAcentral.